Molecule: long non-coding RNA, 497 nt
Filed under: Carica papaya (papaya)
Lineage: Eukaryota; Viridiplantae; Streptophyta; Magnoliopsida; Brassicales; Caricaceae
Description: long non-coding RNA (CPAP_LNC015976)
Source: RNAcentral
GAUAGUGUUUUUCAAAAAAAAUUAAAAACAUGAGGUUAAAAUGUGAAAAAGAGAAACUCGGCCACGUGGGACGGCCCAGUCAGCAACCACGGCGAACCAAAGUAUGCUGUGUGGGAAAACACGCUGACAUCGAUGCCACGCGGGAGGCCACGUGGGUGAUCCAAAUGCCUAGCGAUCUGACGGCCUAGAUUUAAUCACGCAUGUGUGAACGACUCAGAUGCAUUCCUUCUUUAGGCAUGAUCGGACGGACGAGAUCAAUCGCGAUGAACGGUCCAGAUUCACUCACGUAAUCAGCCUAUAUAGGCAACGAUCGGACGACCCUCCUCGCCCUGUGUCGACGCGAAUGGACGGUCCAGAUCGAUACGGGAUAAGUAUAUCAACAUCGUGUCACAAGAGAACCCUAACCCUAGCUGCACCUGCCCUGUCGGAGAAGAAAGACCAGCUGCUGGAGAAGGAGAUCAAUCCCCGACCACUACCGUACCGAAACCACCACCGAU